GCUGGAAUGAAUGGUUGAAUGAAAAAUAUACUUUCUUUAUUUUAUAUAAAUAAAUUGAUUUUUUAGUUAAAAAGCUAUAAUUUUUUUAUGGGACGAGAAGACCCUAUAGAACUUUAUUAAAAUCAUAAUUUAAUUUUUUUUAUAUUUUUAUAAAUUUAAAUUAUGAUUUUAAUUUUGUUGGGGUGACAGAAAAAAUAUAUUAACUUUUUCUAUUUUUAACAUUCAUAUAUGUUUAAUUGAUCCUAUUUUAUGGAAAAAAGAUUAAGUUACCUUAGGGAUAACAGCGUUAUUUUUUUGGAGAGYUCUAAUCGAUAAAAGAGUUUGCGACCUCGAUGUUGGAUUAAAAUAAGUGACAGGAGUAUAAUAU
RNAcentral lists this ribosomal RNA (367 nucleotides) under Sidnia kinbergi. Its description in RNAcentral is "partial large subunit ribosomal RNA". Lineage: Eukaryota; Metazoa; Arthropoda; Insecta; Hemiptera; Miridae. The record is from RNAcentral.